RNAcentral lists this small RNA (361 nucleotides) under Arabidopsis thaliana (thale cress). RNAcentral's name for it is "ATSL009940". Lineage: Eukaryota; Viridiplantae; Streptophyta; Magnoliopsida; Brassicales; Brassicaceae. The record is from RNAcentral.
UAAAAACCCAAGGUAGAAUACCAUUUGAAAUACAAACGCCGGCAGACCAACUAAAUGUCUCCAAAAACUAAGCCCAAAAGAGGAAAACUAAGCCUCAACGGAACGGAGAAACUAUUUAGACCAACGAAGAAAACAAAAGACAAAUAUCUAAAAAAGAUCAACCGUUAAGGGAAAACGAAGAUCUAAGCACUAAAAUUGCGCAAAAGAACCAGGAACCCUCACAAAGCUUCCCCAAAGAAACGGAAAACGUCGGAAACACCAAUAAGAUCGGAAAGAACUCACAUCGAAGUCAAACCACUAGCAAUCCGACAGGGAGGAAAGCAAGAAGCCACCAGAGCGAGAGACACAACUACUAAUCAAA